RNAcentral lists this ribosomal RNA (253 nucleotides) under uncultured bacterium. RNAcentral describes it as "partial 16S ribosomal RNA". It matches the Rfam family "Bacterial small subunit ribosomal RNA", at positions 524 to 776 of the family's 1533-position model. The record is from RNAcentral.
UACGGGGGGAGCAAGCGUUGUUCGGAUUUACUGGGCGUAAAGAGCUCGUAGGCGGCUUGUCACGUCGAUUGUGAAAGCCCGCGGCUCAACUGCGGGUCUGCAGUCGAUACGGGCAGGCUAGAGUUCGGUAGGGGAGACUGGAAUUCCUGGUGUAGCGGUGAAAUGCGCAGAUAUCAGGAGGAACACCGGUGGCGAAGGCGGGUCUCUGGGCCGAUACUGACGCUGAGGAGCGAAAGCGUGGGGAGCGAACAGG